UGAGGGGGAUAUUUGGCACAAUGGGCGAAAGCCUGAUGCAGCAACGCCGCGUGAGGGAAGACGGUCUUCGGAUUGUAAACCUCUGUCUUCGGUGACGAACAAAUGACGGUAGCCGGGGAGGAAGCCACGGCUAACUACGUGCCAGCAGCCGCGGUAAUACGUAGGUGGCGAGCGUUGUCCGGAAUUACUGGGGUGUAAAGGGGGCGCAGGCGGGGACAGCAAGUUGGAUGUGAAAUACCGAGGCUUAACUUCGGAGCUGCAUCCAAAACUGUUGUUCUUGAGUGGAGUAGAGGCAAGCGGAAUUCCGAGUGUAGCGGUGAAAUGCGUAGAUAUUCGGAGGAACACCAGUGGCGAAGGCGGCUUGCUGGGCUCUAACUGACGCUGAGGCUCGAAAGUGUGGGGAGCAAACAGGAUUAGAUACCCU
This 424-nucleotide ribosomal RNA is filed under the name uncultured Anaerotruncus sp. RNAcentral describes it as "bacterial SSU rRNA". It matches the Rfam family "Bacterial small subunit ribosomal RNA", at positions 351 to 788 of the family's 1533-position model. The record is from RNAcentral. Lineage: Bacteria; Bacillati; Bacillota; Clostridia; Eubacteriales; Oscillospiraceae.